AAACUGAAGAGUUUGAUCAUGGCUCAGAUUGAACGCUGGCGGCAGGCUUAACACAUGCAAGUCGAGCGGUAACAGGGGGUGCUUGCACCCCGCUGACGAGCGGCGGACGGGUGAGUAAUGCAUAGGAAACUGCCCAGUAGUGGGGGAUAGCCCGGGGAAACCCGGAUUAAUACCGCGUACGCCCUUCGGGGGAAAGCAGGGGAUCUUCGGACCUUGCGCUAUUGGAUGUGCCUAUGUCGGAUUAGCUAGUUGGUGGGGUAAAGGCCUACCAAGGCGACGAUCCGUAGCUGGUCUGAGAGGAUGAUCAGCCACAUCGGGACUGAGACACGGCCCGAACUCCUACGGGAGGCAGCAGUGGGGAAUAUUGGACAAUGGGGGCAACCCUGAUCCAGCCAUGCCGCGUGUGUGAAGAAGGCUUUCGGGUUGUAAAGCACUUUCAGUGAGGAGGAAAACUCUGCGACUAAUACUCGUAGGGCUUGACGUUACUCACAGAAGAAGCACCGGCUAACUCCGUGCCAGCAGCCGCGGUAAUACGGAGGGUGCAAGCGUUAAUCGGAAUUACUGGGCGUAAAGCGCGCGUAGGUGGUUUGAUAAGCGAGAUGUGAAAGCCCCGGGCUUAACCUGGGAACGGCAUUUCGAACUGUCAGGCUAGAGUAUGGUAGAGGGUAGUGGAAUUUCCUGUGUAGCGGUGAAAUGCGUAGAUAUAGGAAGGAACACCAGUGGCGAAGGCGGCUACCUG
This 739-nucleotide ribosomal RNA is filed under the name Marinobacter sp. B9-2. Its description in RNAcentral is "Bacterial small subunit ribosomal RNA". It matches the Rfam family "Bacterial small subunit ribosomal RNA", at positions 1 to 731 of the family's 1533-position model. Lineage: Bacteria; Pseudomonadati; Pseudomonadota; Gammaproteobacteria; Pseudomonadales; Marinobacteraceae. The record is from Rfam by way of RNAcentral.